RNAcentral lists this unclassified non-coding RNA (239 nucleotides) under uncultured fungus. RNAcentral's name for it is "partial contains 5.8S ribosomal RNA, internal transcribed spacer 2, and large subunit ribosomal RNA". Lineage: Eukaryota; Fungi. The record is from RNAcentral.
AACGCACAUUGCGCCCUCUGGCAUUCCGGGGGGCAUGCCUGUUCGAGCGUCAUGUCAACACUCAAGCCUGGCUUGGUAUUGGGCGACGGGGUCUCCCCCGCGCCCCGAUUUCGACGGCCGGUCGACCCGGACCCCAGCGUUGUGGCAAUCAAUUCGCUGGCGGGAUGGGGCGGGCGUCGCCGCAAAACAGUCUAUCGCAGGUUGACCUCGGAUCAGGUAGGGAUACCCGCUGAACUUAA